Molecule: ribosomal RNA, 254 nt
Filed under: uncultured bacterium
Lineage: Bacteria
Description: partial 16S ribosomal RNA
Rfam family: Bacterial small subunit ribosomal RNA
Source: RNAcentral
UACGUAGGGGGCAAGCGUUGUCCGGAAUUACUGGGCGUAAAGGGCUCGUAGGUGGCCAACUAAGUCAGACGUGAAAUCCCUCAGCUUAACUGGGGAACUGCGUCUGAUACUGGAUGGCUUGAGUUUGGGAGAGGGAUGCGGAAUUCCAGGUGUAGCGGUGAAAUGACGUAGAUAUCUGGAGGAACACCGGUGGCGAAGGCGGCAUCCUGGACCAACACUGACACUGAGGAGCGAAAGCCAGGGGAGCAAACGGG